RNAcentral lists this long non-coding RNA (371 nucleotides) under Theobroma cacao (cacao). RNAcentral's name for it is "long non-coding RNA (TCAC_LNC006299)". The record is from RNAcentral. Lineage: Eukaryota; Viridiplantae; Streptophyta; Magnoliopsida; Malvales; Malvaceae.
GAUCGCGUAUGUGUGUUAGCUAGGGAUGUUGAUGGACAAGGUACCUCUUAAUUUUCUUAAUUUUGUUUUAUCCAAAUCCAAGCUAGAUUGAAUUUUAGGAUCUUGUGGUUUUGUGUAUGUUGUAAAGAACAUUAGGAAAAGUGCUUAGUUGUGUUAUUUUACUUAAUUCUGAUCACUUAAUUACUUAUAGGGGAGUGAUUAAACAUCAUGCUGGGACAGGUUGUUGGGACCCUAAUUUGUUUUGCUUGGGUUUUUUUGGGUAAAGGAUAGAGAGCUAUUCCACAAUCUUUUCUAAGGUCAUGUAAGCAUAUGAGUAUCUGCCACUGUAACACUGAGUGGUGGAUGGAUAUGGAAUUGUAUAGAUAUGAUGC